UGUAUUCGGGUAACCCAGUUCCAUGGGGAACCCCUGCUCCACCUCCUUAUGCUCCUUAUGCUCCUCCCCCUCCUCCUGGUUCGAACAUGUACUACCCUCCUAUGAGUCAGCCUAUGGCCGGUUAUGGUGCACGAUACCCUCCUCCCCCUGGUGCACCACCUCCACCCUCCAGUGAAGCACAGCAGAGUUACCCUCCUCCAGGAGUUCAAUCUGAAAAUUCUAGCCAACCUAUACCAACUAAUAUGUAUGGGAGCUCUCUGCCAGCAAUGCCACCAAAUGGCCAACAUACUUAUCCUGCAUCUUCAUAUGGUUACUCAUCUUACUACAAUGCUGUUCCAC
This 339-nucleotide long non-coding RNA is filed under the name Fragaria vesca (wild strawberry). Its description in RNAcentral is "long non-coding RNA (FVES_LNC003857)". The record is from RNAcentral. Lineage: Eukaryota; Viridiplantae; Streptophyta; Magnoliopsida; Rosales; Rosaceae.